Long non-coding RNA from Alligator mississippiensis (American alligator), 524 nucleotides. RefSeq lists it as uncharacterized. Lineage: Eukaryota; Metazoa; Chordata; Crocodylia; Alligatoridae. The transcript is spliced from 2 exons. The record is from RefSeq and is a predicted model, not a curated record.
AUCUCAUAGCUGCCUAUUAUUUCCUCUCAGAUAACUGAAGAAAAUAGAUCCAAAAUGCAACUUUCAAAGCAGGGAAAAACAGUGAAGAAAUGCAUUUUACAGCCACUGCCAUCUGAGUUAAAGAGGAUCACAAGGCAGGGCUCAGAAGGGACACUAGAUCAUUCAGAUGUGUAAGACUUCCAUACCUACACUGAUGAAUUAGAAGAAUCUACUAACAUCUCUCAAGAAGGAUCAUCAACACCUGCUACCAGGAUGAAUUAGUAGAAUUGCCAGCCAGUCCAACUAUUUUCUUACCAACACAUAAAACUUCUCCACUCAUUGCCGGCUCAUUGUCAACCCAUCUAAUUUACUACAGAUUUAACAUUGCCUUACAGUAACAUGUUGAAAAAUAUAUGCAAACUUCAAACUAAUACAUGACAAAGGAGUGACCUCAUUAAGAAUACCUUGCAUUGGAGAGUUUGCGUAACUUUAUCCCAACCUCCCAACCGUGCAUUUAGUCCAAUAAAAGAUAUUACCCACAAAUA